This 93-nucleotide transfer RNA is filed under the name Salmo salar (Atlantic salmon). It matches the Rfam family "tRNA". From Rfam's summary of the family: Transfer RNA (tRNA) molecules are approximately 80 nucleotides in length. Their secondary structure includes four short double-helical elements and three loops (D, anti-codon, and T loops). Lineage: Eukaryota; Metazoa; Chordata; Actinopteri; Salmoniformes; Salmonidae. The record is from Rfam by way of RNAcentral.
UUCCCUGUGGCUCAGUUGGUAGAGCAUGGUGUUUGCAAUGCCAGCAUGGUGUGUGCAACGCCAGGGUUGUGGGUUUGAUUCCCACGGGGGGAC